Molecule: ribosomal RNA, 652 nt
Filed under: uncultured Syntrophaceae bacterium
Lineage: Bacteria; Pseudomonadati; Thermodesulfobacteriota; Syntrophia; Syntrophales; Syntrophaceae
Description: bacterial SSU rRNA
Rfam family: Bacterial small subunit ribosomal RNA
Source: RNAcentral
AACAAACGCUGGCGGCGUGCCUAACACAUGCAAGUCGUACGAGAAAGGGUCCUUCGGGACCCGAGUAAAGUGGCGCACGGGUGAGUAACGCGUGGAUAAUCUGCCCUUCAGUUGGGAACAACUCAUCGAAAGGUGGGCUAAUACCGAAUAACACUGCGAGACUUUGGUCGAGCAGUCAAAGAGAGCCUCUGCUUGCAAGCCCUCGCUGAAGGAUGAGUCCGCGUACCAUUAGCUAGUUGGCAGGGUAAUGGCCUACCAAGGCGACGAUGGUUAGCUGGUCUGAGAGGAUGAUCAGCCACACUGGAACUGAGAUACGGUCCAGACUCCUACGGGAGGCAGCAGUGAGGAAUCUUGCGCAAUGGGGGAACCCUGACGCAGCAACGCCGCGUGAGUGAGGAAGGCCUUCGGGUCGUAAAGCUCUGUCAGUUGGAAAGAAAUGCCUGAGAGUUAAUACCUUUCAGGUUUGUCGGUACCAACAGAGGAAGCACCGGCUAACUCCGUGCCAGCAGCCGCGGUAAUACGGGGGGUGCAAGCGUUGUUCGGAAUUAUUGGGCGUAAAGAGCGUGUAGGCGGCCGGAUAUGUCAGAUGUGAAAGCCCUGGGCUUAACCCAGGAAGUGCAUUUGAAACUGUCCGGCUUGAGUAUGGGAGAGG